UGGGGAAUAUUGGACAAUGGGCGAAAGCCUGAUCCGGCCAUGCCGCGUGUGUGAAGAAGGUCUUCGGAUUGUAAAGCACUUUAAGUUGGGAGGAAGGGCAGUAAAUUAAUACUUUGCUGUUUUGACGUUACCGACAGAAUAAGCACCGGCUAACUCUGUGCCAGCAGCCGCGGUAAUACAGAGGGUGCAAGCGUUAAUCGGAAUUACUGGGCGUAAAGCGCGCGUAGGUGGUUCGUUAAGUUGGAUGUGAAAUCCCCGGGCUCAACCUGGGAACUGCAUUCAAAACUGACGAGCUAGAGUAUGGUAGAGGGUGGUGGAAUUUCCUGUGUAGCGGUGAAAUGCGUAGAUAUAGGAAGGAACACCAGUGGCGAAGGCGACCACCUGGACUGAUACUGACGCUGAGGUGCGAAAGCGUGGGGGAGCAAACAGGAUUAGAUACCCU
This 442-nucleotide ribosomal RNA is filed under the name uncultured bacterium. RNAcentral's name for it is "partial 16S ribosomal RNA". It matches the Rfam family "Bacterial small subunit ribosomal RNA", at positions 355 to 788 of the family's 1533-position model. The record is from RNAcentral.